CGUACGAGUUCUCGUUGAUGAUCGGUGCUUGCACCGAGAUUCAACAUGGGAACGAGUGGCGGACGGGUGAGUAACACGUGGGUAACCUGCCCUUAAGUGGGGGAUAACAUUUGGAAACAGAUGCUAAUACCGCAUAGAUCCAAGAACCGCAUGGUUCUUGGCUGAAAGAUGGCGUAAGCUAUCGCUUUUGGAUGGACCCGCGGCGUAUUAGCUAGUUGGUGAGGUAAUGGCUCACCAAGGCGAUGAUACGUAGCCGAACUGAGAGGUUGAUCGGCCACAUUGGGACUGAGACACGGCCCAAACUCCUACGGGAGGCAGCAGUAGGGAAUCUUCCACAAUGGACGCAAGUCUGAUGGAGCAACGCCGCGUGAGUGAAGAAGGCUUUCGGGUCGUAAAACUCUGUUGUUGGAGAAGAAUGGUCGGCAGAGUAACUGUUGUCGGCGUGACGGUAUCCAACCAGAAAGCCACGGCUAACUACGUGCCAGCAGCCGCGGUAAUACGUAGGUGGCAAGCGUUAUCCGGAUUUAUUGGGCGUAAAGCGAGCGCAGGCGGUUUUUUAAGUCUGAUGUGAAAGCCCUCGGCUUAACCGAGGAAGCGCAUCGGAAACUGGGAAACUUGAGUGCAGAAGAGGACAGUGGAACUCCAUGUGUAGCGGUGAAAUGCGUAGAUAUAUGGAAGAACACCAGUGGCGAAGGCGGCUGUCUGGUCUGUAACUGACGCUGAGGCUCGAAAGCAUGGGUAGCGAACAGGAUUAGAUACCCUGGUAGUCCAUGCCGUAAACGAUGAAUGCUAGGUGUUGGAGGGUUUCCGCCCUUCAGUG
This 820-nucleotide ribosomal RNA is filed under the name uncultured bacterium. RNAcentral describes it as "bacterial SSU rRNA". It matches the Rfam family "Bacterial small subunit ribosomal RNA", at positions 63 to 845 of the family's 1533-position model. The record is from RNAcentral.